RNAcentral lists this ribosomal RNA (442 nucleotides) under uncultured bacterium. Its description in RNAcentral is "partial 16S ribosomal RNA". It matches the Rfam family "Bacterial small subunit ribosomal RNA", at positions 338 to 795 of the family's 1533-position model. The record is from RNAcentral.
CCUACGGGAGGCAGCAGUGGGGAAUAUUGGGCAAUGGGCGAAAGCCUGACCCAGCAACGCCGCGUGAAGGAAGAAGUCUUUCGGUUUGUAAACUUCUUUUGACAGGGAAGAGCAGAACACUCUAUCUGUCGAAUAAGCCACCGCUAACUACGGGCCAGCAGCCGCGGUAAUACGUAGGUGGCACGCGUUGUCCGUAUGUACGGGGUGUAAAGGGCGUGUAGCCGGGCUGACAAGUCAGAUGUGAAAUCCGGGGGCUCAACCCCCGCACUGCAUUUGAAACUGUUGGUCUGGAGUAUCGGAGAGGCAGGCGGAAUUCCUAGUGUAGCGGUGAAAUGCGUAGAUAUUAGGAGGAACACCAGUGGCGAAGGCGGCCUGCUGGACGACAACUGACGGUGAGGCGCGAAAGCGUGGGGAGCAAACAGGGUUAGAUACCCGAGUAGUC